UACGAAGGGGGCUAGCGUUAAUCGGAAUUACUGGGCGUAAAGCGUGCGCAGGCGGUGAUGUAAGACCGAUGUGAAAUCCCCGGGCUUAACCUGGGAACUGCAUUGGUGACUGCAUUGCUAGAGUAUGGCAGAGGGGGGUGGAAUUCCCAGUGUAGAGGUGAAAUUCGUAGAUAUUGGGAAGAACACCGGUGGCGAAGGCGGCUCACUGGCCCGGUACUGACGCUGAGGUGCGAAAGCGUGGGGAGCAAACAGG
RNAcentral lists this ribosomal RNA (253 nucleotides) under uncultured bacterium. RNAcentral describes it as "partial 16S ribosomal RNA". It matches the Rfam family "Bacterial small subunit ribosomal RNA", at positions 524 to 776 of the family's 1533-position model. The record is from RNAcentral.